This is a long non-coding RNA of Oncorhynchus masou masou (cherry salmon), 4716 nucleotides long. RefSeq lists it as uncharacterized. The transcript has 2 exons. NCBI's taxonomy places the organism in Eukaryota, Metazoa, Chordata, Actinopteri, Salmoniformes, Salmonidae. The record is from RefSeq and is a predicted model, not a curated record.
AAUGUCAAUGCACAAUGUCUUGGGGCCUUUUUCUGAUAGUUCCCUCUGAGCUAAAUGAACGGGUCCGUGCAUGCUUUGUCAGAUAUUUUUACCUUUAAUAAACUGCCUUGAAUCAUACCUUAUCCACCUGGUCCAGCGUCUCAACUUGGUCUCUCUCCUCUAGUAACUGUAUCAUCAACAAAACAUGGUAGCAGAGGACGGUUGAUAUAAGAACCUGAAUUCAGUCCAAAGGAGGUUGAUGAGAGGAGAGGCAAGUUGGAGGCAAAUCCAGAGAGACGGGUGACCUGAAAAGGAGCCGCCGGGGAUUCAUCUCACCUCAGGAACCUGAUCUAAAACGUCGACUAAACAAAGAUGGAUGCUGCUACAGAGGAGAAAAGGGGAACAUAGCAGCAUAUGCAGUGGUGCAACAGCUUCCAGAUGGGUCACACGUGACUCUGGAAUCUGCUAUUAUCCCACAACCUGCAUCAGCCCAGUUAGCUGAAAUCAUAGGUUUGACACAAGCACUGGAAACAGCUGAAGGAAAGACUGUGAACAUAUACAUCGACUCAGCUUAUGCUCACGGGGCAGUCCAUACGGAUGGACCACAAUGGCUGAGGCGAAACUUCACCACCCCAGGCAACCUACCAAUCAAACACAAGGCACAGAUGGAGAAACUGAUUAAAGCAGUCUCACUACCUGGGAAGGUGGCCAUCAUGAAGUGCAAAGGACACCAACAACUGAGAAGCCGAAUCAGCGAAGGCAAUGAUGCAGCUGACAAAGCAGCCAAGAAAGCGGGCGGUUACACCCCGAGACAAUAGUACUACAGACUCAACCAGCACCAACUGAGCUCACAGAGCAACACAUCAAAGAAUUCCAGUUCUCAGCAGGACCGUAUGAACACUCAGUGUGGGGACAGAGAGGGGCCACUAAGGGACCUGAUGGACUAUGGAGAUGUCAUGAUGGCAGGUUGGUGGCCCCCGCACACCUAUGUCCAGAGCUGAUCCGAGAGGGACAUGGGCUCACACAUGAGGGUAAAUUAAAGACUUUGCAGAAGGUGUCCUACAUUUGGUGGCACCCCCACAUGAAAGACAUGACAGACUUGUUUUGCGACGAGUGUAGCAUUUGUGGCAGCCACAAUCCAAAGAAACCAUAUCAAACACCAAUGGGUUCAUACCCAGUGCCCAAUGCCUGUUUCCAGGACAUUAGUAUAGACUACACUGACAUUGGGCCUGAUAAUGUAACUAAUGGAAAGAGAUACCUCUUAGUAAUGGUAGACAGGUUCUCUAAAUGGUUGAGGCAAUACCAACAGCACGUGAGGAUGCCAGGUCUGUCAUUAAGUGGCUACAGACUGAACUCAUACCAAGAUAUGGAGUUCCCAGGCAAAUCAGAUCCGACAACGGGUCCCAUUUCAGCAACCGACACCUGAAACAGGUGGAGGAGAGGUUCGGAAUUAUACACAAGUUUGGGUCUGUGUAUAAGCCGCAAUCCCAGGGGCUCGUGGAACGCGCUAACCAGACUUUGAAGGCUAAGAUAGCCAAAAUAUGUGCAGGUUUAAAGUUGACAUGGGUUGAAGCCCUGCCCCUGGCGUUGAUGGCCAUGAGAGCCUCUCCAGGUGCAAGCACCCAUCUCUCUCCUCAUGAGAUAAUGACUGGAAGAGUCAUGCCUGGUCCACCAAGGGAGGGAGGUCAUAUGCCCACCCUUGAUGUACAUCAAAUUGUAAUGUCUGAUUAUGUCAAAAACUGACAGAACUUUCUGCAGCUCUCUCCAAACAGAUCCACAAGGUCCAAGAGGGGGAGCUGACGGGAGAUCCGGUGCCACUGAAGGUAAAGGUUGGUGACUGGGUGAGGGUGAAGGUCCACAAGCGGAAGUGGCUUGAACCCAGGUGGGCUGGAUCGUACGAAGUGAAGGAGGUUACUUCACACUCAGUCCAGGUCAAAGGUAAAUCGGGCGCACCUUGGCACCACCUCACAAAUUGCACCCCAGCACCAACUCCUUCCAGAACAUUGACUGAGGUCAGGGCCGAUUUGAACGCCCUCAAUUUGACACCAAAUUCAGUUCCUCUGCCCUGUGACGAUGUGGAUGAGACUCCCAUCAACACAGGCUAGAGGGCCUAACCCAGGGAUGAGAUACAAAAAUCCCUGGGAUAGGCUGGGGAUCUCUGGUCCCUUGUUUGUUAUUUUCAUCCUAAUCACUGGAGUUUCCUUAGGAACUCUCACGUGGUUAUUUCAGCACAUGACACAUCCACCACACCCCAGCCAAGCUAAUGUCACAUCUAGCACCACUCUAUACAACAUCACUGAACACACCCAGAGCCAUGCCAUAUGCAAACGACACAUUGGACAAAUCACCCAGACUUGCGCAACUGACCAAGUGAGAAGCACUACCCUAUGUGUUCCUGUAAACACCACCACCACUGUUACCGUACCUUGGGGAAUGCUAGAGAGCUCUAGAAACAGUGGUACUGGGCCACUAUGGCAGACCACUUAUCAUUGGUAUAUGACAAAAGGGGGCCUGGAUGACUGGUCCUGGAAAAAUCUUGUCGCCGAAACGGGCCCAGACUGGUCUAGCUACUCAAGAGGAGCAGACCUCCCAUCCCAUCUUCUGUCACUAUAAAGGAUGAGCCGACAAAGGUGGUGGAGGCUGGAGGUCUGGGCAGGUGGAGACCCAUUACUAUGCUCACCACCGCACCCACGUUGGAUAGCGCUAUUCGUACGGCUACAGGGGUCUCUGGCCUUUCUAACAACGGGCUCCUUUUGACAGAGGAAGCAGGUAAGAUGACAAAUCAGAGUUGUGUGGUGUGCAUGGGGGGACGUCCGUUGCUCCGCAUUGUCCCAGCCACCAUUACUAUUGAAUGUUUCCUGCCUGUCAUGAAACACGAUAACCCACCCCAAAAUUGUUCCUUAUGGGAUAAGGUGUACCCUGUGGUUAGAAGCGUAGCCAAGAAACCCAUCUUCUCCUAUCAUGUGGCUAAGGCCAACUUCACGUGUGUGAAUCUCACCAUAGGGACUCCCACAUUGGGGACUGUUCCAAAAGGAUGGUGUUCACAUGUCCAUACACCUAAUUCUAUCUUUAAACCUGUCUCUAGGGCUGAUGUUUGGUGGUGGUGCGGAGGUUCAAGACUUUUUGAUGGGCUCCCGGGAAAUGUUUCUGCCACAUGUGCUCUAAUAUCUUUGAUACUUCCUAUUUCAGUUUACCCAACCCAUCCACAGAUCUGGAAUCCCCUGGUGAAGGCUUCCCUCUUAGGAGGACCAAACGUGAUGCCACUACUCCAGGGGAUGGCAUAGGGGCAUAGGGGAUGGCAUAGGGGUCCCAAGGGGGGUUCCAGAUGAGUACAAAUUGAUAGACCAAGUGGCAGCAGGUUUUGAAUCAUCUAUCUGCUGGUGGUGUACGGUAAACAAAAAUGUUGACAGAAUUAACUAUAUCCAUUACAAUGUGCAAAAACUAGGCAAUUGGACACAGCAAGGCUUUGAGGCAGUACAUGGUCAACUGUCUGCAACUUCCCUCAUGGCCUUCCAAAAUCAUAUUGCUAUUGAUAUGUUACUGGCCGAGAAAGGCGGGGUCUGUUCCAUGUUUGGGGAACAAUGUUGUACCUUUAUUCCCAAUAACACAGCCUUGGAUGGAAGCCUUACCGUUGCCCUGGAGGGACUUCGUACCCUUAAUGGUAAGAUGAAGAAACACUCUGGGGUGGACACCUCCAUGUGGGACUCAUGGAUGGAUGCGUUUGGCAAGUAUAAAACCCUGGUCUCAUCUAUCCUCGUUUCCAUUUCGGUUUUUGCAGCCAUCCUAGUCCUUUGUGGGUGCUGUUGCAUUCCAUGUGCCCGUACAUUGACUACUAGGGUUAUCACAUCAGCUAUUGAUCCGAAUCAAACUAGCCAAAUGUAUCCCUUGCUUGUAGUGGAGGAAGCUGAAAGUCUGUAUGAUGAAGGGCUCUAUUAGCCCAUGUGCCACGUCUCUUGUGAGACGUGAAGAGGGGGAAUCACAAAAUUUGUCCGCUGACAAAUUUUUAUCUUAUGCUUCUAUUGCCAGCCCAAGGUUCACGUCUUGAGACGUGAAGAGGGGGAUUUGUAAUAAAUAUAUCAUGCUAACAUUAUAAGCUUGCUAGUUGCAACAUAGAAGUUAAUCAUAUGCUUAUUAAGUAGGACGCUGUUGGAACCCAUCCUGUAUUACUUAAGUUGUCUACUGAGCCUCUCUAUUAAUGUUUGGUCAGUGUUUGGCCACACAGCGUGAGCCAAUAUAGAUUAGGCAUUGCACAGUAUCGAGUGAGCACACACACACACACAUACACACAUAGUCACCCACCAAGACGCAGGACCCCAAGUGGAAAACAGGAAACGCCCUAAUCACAAGGGUUUGCAACACAAGAUUAGGCUGCAACAUCUUGUGACCGAAAGACACACACAUGUCAAAACAACUUGCACACACACACACACACACACACACGCACACACACACGCACAUAACACAUAACUCAUAUUUGUCAAGCAUUCAAGGACAAAGGACUUACACCAGAACCAAUAGGAGAAGGACACCAGCAACACCGACGAAGGAGCUGAACCCGAGGACCAAUCAGACGAGAGGAACCUCCUAGACUCAACCUACAUCAUUUGUUGUAUAAAAUGUCAAUGCACAAUGUCUUGGGGGUUUUUUCUGAUAGUUCCCUCUGAGCUAAAUGAACGGGUCCGUGCAUGCUUUGUCAGAUAUUUUUACCUUUAAUAAACUGCCUUGAAUCAUACCUUA